This 481-nucleotide long non-coding RNA is filed under the name Meleagris gallopavo (turkey). RNAcentral describes it as "lncRNA (ENSMGAG00000021102.1)". Lineage: Eukaryota; Metazoa; Chordata; Aves; Galliformes; Phasianidae. The record is from RNAcentral.
UGCAACAUGGGAGAACUCGCCAAACAGCCACUGAAUUAGUAAAUUAGGAGGCUUGGAGGAAGUCUUGUUGUCUUCAGGCCUCAUUAACGUACUAUGUAAGUCUUAUCUGUUGCCUAGGACUGCAUUGUGCUGCACACGCAUACAGCAAGGAGGGUGAAUUCCACCAGGGCUGCAGGAGGAGGGCACUGCUGAAAGCUGUCCUACAACAAGCACACGGCAAAGGGAUGCUGCUGGACCUCCCACAUGUUGUCACCUUUGCUGCCCAUGGGAUGAGCCUCUCUCACUGUCACUCUUGUACAGGAGAGCUUGUCAAGUGCCAGAAGCCAAAGCCUUGAAAGACAUCUCAGUGCUGCUCGCUUACGUAACGCCAAAUCUGCUCGCACAGUAAGAAAGCCUAUUAAAUAUUUAAACCCUGUCCUUUCCUCAAAAGCAGAACAGCAGAGAUGAUUUUCCAUGGAAUUUAACAUUAAACUCGGGCAAU